UAUGUGAUCGUCUCUCGCAUAUCAAUAAGCGGAGGAAAAGAAACUAACAAGGAUUCCCCUAGUAACGGCGAGUGAAGCGGGAAGAGCUCAAAUUUGAAAUCUUAAAGGGUUUCCCUUUACGAAUUGUAGUUUAAAGAAGUGUUUUCUGUUGAGGUUUUGGUAAAAGUUCUUUGGAAUAGGACAUCAUAGAGGGUGAGAAUCCCGUAUUUGACCUUUACUUUCAACUUUGUGAUACACUUUCAAAGAGUCGGAUUGUUUGGGAAUGCAGUCCAAAAUGGGUGGUAAAUUUCAUCUAAAGCUAAAUAUUGGCGAGAGACCGAUAGCGAACAAGUACCGUGAGGGAGAGAUGAAAAGAACUUUGAAAAGAGAGUUAAACAGUACGUGAAAUUGUCAAAAGGGAAGCGUUUGACACCAGUGUUGUUUUUCUGAAAAUCAAUUAAAGAACUGUCUUAUGCUAAGCUGUUUAGACUUUAUCAGCUAAUCUGUUUAGUUUUGAGCUUUUCUUUAAUGCACUUUUCAGUUAACAAGUCAACAUCAAUUUCUUUUGCUGUAAAAAAGCUUGAGGAAGGUGGCUUGAGAUUCGUCUUAAGUGUUUAUAGCCUCUUGCCUAUGCAGUCGGAGAGAUUGAGGUCUGCAGCGUAGAUCCUUCGGGGCUAAAUGCAUUUGUGCUAAGUUAUAGCAUUUUAUAGACAACUUGUUGACUAUGAUUUGUCUUGUAGCUUACUCGCUUAUGUUAUUUUACCUACGCUUAGGAUGUUGACGCGCGUGUGUGCGUG
Molecule: ribosomal RNA, 776 nt
Filed under: uncultured Neocallimastigales
Lineage: Eukaryota; Fungi; Neocallimastigomycota; Neocallimastigomycetes; Neocallimastigales
Description: partial large subunit ribosomal RNA
Rfam family: Eukaryotic large subunit ribosomal RNA
Source: RNAcentral